GAUGAACGCUGGCGGCGUGCCUAAUACAUGCGAGUCGAGCGAACAGACGAGGAGCUUGCUCCUCUGACGUUAGCGGCGGACGGGUGAGUAACACGUGGAUAACCUACCUAUAAGACUGGGAUAACUUCGGGAAACCGGAGCUAAUACCGGAUAAUAUAUUGAACCGCAUGGUUCAAUAGUGAAAGACGGUUUUGCUGUCACUUAUAGAUGGAUCCGCGCCGCAUUAGCUAGUUGGUAAGGUAACGGCUUACAAAGGCAACGAUGCGUAGCCGACCUGAGAGGGGAACCGCCCACCCAGAAACUGAGACCCGUCCCAAACCCCAACGGGAGGCAGGAUUGGGAAAUCUUCCGCAAGGGGCGAAAGCUUGACGGGGCAACGCCGGGGGGGUGAUGAGGGGCUUCGGUUCGUAAACCUCUGUUAUUGGGGAAAAAAAAAUGUGUAAGUAACUAUGCCCGUUUUGCCGGGCCCAAACCAGAAAGCCCCGCCUAACUCCGG
This 496-nucleotide ribosomal RNA is filed under the name uncultured bacterium. RNAcentral's name for it is "partial 16S ribosomal RNA". It matches the Rfam family "Bacterial small subunit ribosomal RNA", at positions 28 to 506 of the family's 1533-position model. The record is from RNAcentral.